GACGAACGCUGGCGGCGUGGAUUAGGCAUGCAAGUCGAACGGUAGGAUACCUUCGGGUAUCUGAGAGUGGCGAACGGGUGAGUAACACGUAGGUGAUCUACCCUCAAGAUUGGGACAACCCAGGGAAACUUGGGCUAAUACCGGAUGAAAGCAGCAGUGAUGUUGUUUGAAAGGUGGCGUAAGCUGCCGUUUGGGGAUGAGCCUGCGCUCUAUUAGUUAGUUGGCGGGGUAAAGGCCCACCAAGGCGAUGAUAGAUAGGCGGCCUUAACGGGUGGUCGCCCACACUGGGAUUGAGAUACGGCCCAGACUCCUACGGGAGGCAGCAGUCGAGAAUAGUCUACAAUGGCCGAAAGGCUGAUAGUGCGACGCCGCGUGAACGAAGAAGCCCUUCGGGGUGUAAAGUUCUUUUAUAUGUGAGCAGUGCUUUCUAUGUGAACAGCAUGAGGAGAGAGAUAUUAGCAUAUGAAUAAGCAACGGCUAACUCCGUG
RNAcentral lists this ribosomal RNA (488 nucleotides) under uncultured bacterium. RNAcentral describes it as "bacterial SSU rRNA". It matches the Rfam family "Bacterial small subunit ribosomal RNA", at positions 28 to 507 of the family's 1533-position model. The record is from RNAcentral.